This 301-nucleotide ribosomal RNA is filed under the name uncultured bacterium. RNAcentral describes it as "partial 16S ribosomal RNA". It matches the Rfam family "Bacterial small subunit ribosomal RNA", at positions 509 to 809 of the family's 1533-position model. The record is from RNAcentral.
CAGUCGCCGCGGGAACACGGAGGGUGCAAACGUUGCUCGGAAUUAUUGGGCGUAAAACGCACGUAGGCGGCCAAGUAAGUCGGGUGUGAAAGCCCAGGGCUUAGCCCUGGAAGUGCACUCGAAACUGCUUGGCUUGAAUGUGGAAGAGGGUCGCGGAAUUCCCGGUGUAGAGGUGAAAUUCGUAGAUAUCGGGAGGAACACCAGUGGCGAAGGCGGCGACCUGGGCCAACAUUGACGCUGAGGUGUGAAAGCGUGGGGAGCAAACAGGAUUAGAGACCCCUGUAGUCCCUGUCUCUUAUAA